UAAAUAUCGAUGAAAGAGCGAGUAAGUAACUAAAUGCUUUAUAAGAGAGGAUCGUCGUGGCUGAGAGCGAUCUAAAACAAGUAGUUUCUGAAAGACACUCUGGAGAUGGACGCGUGCAAAGCCGUCCCGUAAACGAGCGUUAAUCGUGAGAGGAAAGAGCAAUCUUUCAAAUAUAGGUGGUACCGUGUAUGAAAUAAUCAUUCACCCUUGUU
Molecule: non-coding RNA, 212 nt
Filed under: Enterococcus mundtii
Lineage: Bacteria; Bacillati; Bacillota; Bacilli; Lactobacillales; Enterococcaceae
Description: T-box sequence
Rfam family: T-box leader
About the family: Uncharged tRNA acts as the effector for transcription antitermination of genes in the T-box leader family. T-boxes are found upstream of many aminoacyl-tRNA synthetase genes and some amino acid biosynthetic genes usually in Gram-positive bacteria.
Source: RNAcentral